RNAcentral lists this small nuclear RNA (107 nucleotides) under Dasypus novemcinctus (nine-banded armadillo). The record is from RNAcentral. Lineage: Eukaryota; Metazoa; Chordata; Mammalia; Cingulata; Dasypodidae.
GUGCUCACUUUGCCAGCACAUAUACUAAAAUUGGAACAAGACAGAGAAGAUUAACAUGCCCCCUGUGCACGGACGGCAUGCAAAUUCGUGAAGCGUUCCAUAUUUAA